Molecule: ribosomal RNA, 225 nt
Filed under: uncultured bacterium
Lineage: Bacteria
Description: partial 16S ribosomal RNA
Rfam family: Bacterial small subunit ribosomal RNA
Source: RNAcentral
GAUCAUGGCUCAGGAUGAACGCUGGCGGCGUGCCUAAUACAUGCAAGUCGAACGCUUCACUUCGGUGAAGAGUGGCGAACGGGUGAGUAAUACAUAAGUAACCUGGCAUCUACAGGGGGAUAACUGAUGGAAACGUCAGCUAAGACCGCAUAGGUGUAGAGAUCGCAUGAACUCUAUAUGAAAAGUGCUACGGGACUGGUAGAUGAUGGACUUAUGGCCAUUAGU